This 451-nucleotide ribosomal RNA is filed under the name uncultured bacterium. Its description in RNAcentral is "partial 16S ribosomal RNA". It matches the Rfam family "Bacterial small subunit ribosomal RNA", at positions 30 to 507 of the family's 1533-position model. The record is from RNAcentral.
AGCGAACGCUGGCGGCAUGCCUAACACAUGCAAGUCGCACGGGGGGGCUUCGGCCUCCCAGUGGCGGACGGGUGAGGAACGCGUAGGGACCUGUCGAGGGGUGGGGGAUAACCGCGGGAAACUGCGGCUAAUACCGCAUGACGCCGCGGCGUGACAGCCGGGGCCAAAGGCGAAAGCCGCCCGCCGAGGGGCCUGCGUCCGAUUAGCUGGUUGGCGGGGUAGCGGCCCACCAAGGCGUCGAUCGGUAGCUGGUCUGAGAGGGUGAUCAGCCACACCGGGACUGAGACCCGGCCGGGACCCCUGGGGGGGGGAGCAGGGGGGAAUUUUGAACAAGGGGCGAAAGCUUGAUCCAGCAGUGCCGGGGGGGUGAAGAGGGUCUGCGGAUUGAAAAGCCCUUGGGGCGGGGAGGGUGGGGAGGGUCCCCGAAGAAGAACCCCCGGCAAAUUUCGUG